Molecule: long non-coding RNA, 2035 nt
Filed under: Physcomitrium patens
Lineage: Eukaryota; Viridiplantae; Streptophyta; Bryopsida; Funariales; Funariaceae
Description: long non-coding RNA (PPAT_LNC007400)
Source: RNAcentral
ACAAACAUGAUGGGUCAAAAUGCAAUGCAGUGCAGUAGAUGUAUGCAACAAACAAAGGUCAUAUUCAAAGGAGACUUGGCAAUGCUAACAGUAAUGGAAUCAAUACCACAUAAUCAAAGGAGUGAAUGCUGGUGGAAGCAUAUAUUGGAAGGAUUAACUGCACAGCAAUGAGAGAGAGAGAAGAGGGAUUAACUGUACAGCAAUGAGUGAGGAAAGUCAAGGUGACAACUUUGUUGGGUUGGAUAAAAAUGCAACAAUGCCAUCGUGAAUCAUCGGUCUUGAUGCACCUCCUCACUUGGUCUUGUAGCUUUUAUAACUUCCAAGAUGUACCCUCCUCUCUAAUCCUAACCCUGCUCUGCGCUGCACUGCCGUGCCCUCUUCAUCUUCCUUUUUUUUAGCUCACUUUUCUUUCUUCUUCUUCUUCAUUUCUCUUAUGGCUCUCGCCACCCCUUUUCUUUCCCAUGUCUGCAAUCUAACAAACUCAUCGCUGCCAUCUCCAACCCCCACAUCACUUGCACUGGAACCUACCCUUCCCUUACCUCCCGUUUCUCUGCCUGCUUGCCUCCUAGGUAUGUAUAUUCUUCUCACCUUUCUUCUCUUCUCUUGCUCUUGCUCUUUUAAUCUUUGUUUCUGCACAAUGCUCCCUCUAGUGUGGUAAAUCGGAGCUCACAAUUUCCAUCCGAUCCUACUCUCUCAUAUUCCUUGUCUGUUAACUCUUUAACACUCUUCCACUUGCCUGAUUUUGUAGCAUUCUGGAAAUCUCUUGACAGACUAGGGUUGGUAUGCUGCAUGCUUCUCAACUUUGAUUGUUUCCAAUUCUUAGGUCCAACUUUGCAAAUGCAUAUUUUUAGGUCCAGUUGAAACUUAAGUGACCGUAGGCUGAUACAUUAUAACAUGAGCACUUCGUUUCAAGUUAAGAGGGUCUGCUUUCAUUUCGAUUUAUUUUUUGCAAGUGUACUUUUUUUUAUCGGGAAUGAAGGUCUAUAGAUCUAUACCGUGUGACUUUCGUUGCUGUAGCUAGCUAUAUGUUUGUCAAGUACAGACCUACCUAGCUUAAAAGCAGUCACAGAUCAUGUCAGGUUAUCUCUGCAUCAUGUUAUUCAAAAACACAAACAUGGAUUCUUUUUGCUGACGGUCUACUUUCUGGUUUGAAGCAAUUUUAGGUUUUUGAGUCAUUAAAGUUUUGAGCUGGUGAUAUUUAAUCUUAAUCUUUUAUGAGGUUGGAGCUCAAUUCAGCAAGAACUGCUUAUCGUGCUUGAUAUCCAGUUCAACUGGUGCACCUUCCUCCCCAUUUUGAUUGAAACAAUUAGAUAGUUUGUCUGGGAUUGGAUUAGUUAACAGUUUAACCAUUCACACUAUAAAAUUUCAAGUCUUCAUGGCUUCAUAAUUCAUUGGGUUGAAAAAUUGAUGCUUGAAAGGAACAAUUACUGUACUGAUUCAUGUUUCAUAUGGGUAGUUCUAUAAUCAGUAUCUCAUCUAUAAUCAAGAUGUCAUCCGAUGGUCAAAAUUAGUGCUCAGAAAUUUCACGGAUGGAUGCCUUCCAAAAGAAUUUACGUCUUUCAUAGUGUUGUACAUUGAGUUGUGCAAUUGUCUUUUUUGAAAGAUUACAUGAGCGGUGACCGGAGACACACUUUCUUUUUAGGUGAAUGUUGUGGGCACUUGCAUAUUUCAAAUGCUUGUACAGAUCUUUGGAAUCAUAGUAAAAUGUGCAAAAGCUACUUGUACAAAAAGUAAGAUCUGUAUCUGCAUCUGAUUUGAAAUGAGUAUACUAAUGCAUUAGGUGAUGGAAUGACAUGAUGGGUAUUAUCGUAGUGAAAUACUUAUUAGUUCUCCUUAAGAAUGCAUCAAAUAAAAGCAUUGCUCUAAAUUUUCUAAGGCUAAAGAUGUAUCAUUAAAAUGAUACAUAUGUUGUUUAGGAUAGAAGAUGAUACUUGUGGUGUAGCAAUGUAGAUAGGAAAGUGUAGAAUAGUAAAGAAAGUAAAUCUAAUGUACAAUUAUGAAUAUAUGUCAAUAGGUUGAAUAUUGAAAAAUUUGU